RNAcentral lists this long non-coding RNA (5998 nucleotides) under Brassica napus (rape). Its description in RNAcentral is "long non-coding RNA (BNAP_LNC025420)". Lineage: Eukaryota; Viridiplantae; Streptophyta; Magnoliopsida; Brassicales; Brassicaceae. The record is from RNAcentral.
GGUUGUGUCCGAGCACUACGUGCCAAGCGAUCCGCCUUUAUGUUUUCCGUCCUUGGAACAUGAACAAUCUCUGAGUUGGUAAAGCUUCUUCUCAAAAACUUAAUGUCAUCCAGGUAGCUUUCAAAUGCCGGCCAUUCUUCUGGUUCCGAAACCAUCUUCACCAAUUGAGAACAAUCCGUUGCAAAUGUGACCCGGUACUGUCGUAAGUUCUUCAUACACUCCAUUGCCCAAAUUAGAGCCUCCAACUCCAUAUGAAGAGGUGAGAAACUUGCCCUUACAUUCCUUGCCCCAAACAAACCCUCAAACCCCGGAAGCGUGCUGAACUAGCCUUGUCCUGAGAAAAAAUCCUUAUCUUUCCAAAAACCGUCAGUGAAACACCAUCUUCCUGUAGUCUGUGAGUUAACUCUGAACUGCGCUUCAGGGGCCAUCCUGGAAUCAUUAACAAUUUGUGCAUCCGUUCAAAGUGUUGAUUCCAAUUCAGCUAAGUUUAGUGUUUCUCUCGGGUCAACAUCAAUAUUACUAAAAACUUUAUUAUUCUGACCCUUUCAAAUGUACCAUAGAAUCCAUGCAAAUUGAUGAUCCUCCAUUUUGGAUUAACUCUCCAAAACAGAUGAUCCAUAUUAGCAAAUAUCGAACCCAAAAGGAAAAUAUUUGGGUUUGAUGGAAUCUUUGAUAGUGCUCACACUUGCCGUGCCGGAGGACAUUCAAAAAACACAUGAUUUAUUGAUUCCUCCGGAUCACCACACCUUGCACAUCUUGUAUCUCCUUGUAUUCCACGUGAUUUUAAAUUUUUGCUCACUGCUAUACUACCUGUCAACAACUGCCAUAGAAAAUGCCUUAACUUUGGAGGGCACUUCACUUUCCAAUAGAAUGUCUUAAGAAUAUCCACGUUGGGUCCAUAAAAUUCUGGUUGAUACCCUGAUUGUACCGUAUAUGUCCCAUUUUUAGUGAAAUGUCAUCCAUUCCUAUCAUUUAACAGAUUUCUACUCAGAAGAAGACUUUCAAUCAUUUCUGCAUCAUUGGGUUCCACCAAAGUCCUAAUUGCCUGUAAAUUCCAUGUUCGGGAUUCCUGAUGAAUGAGGGAAUCCACUGUGAGGUCCGGAUAGCUAUCGUGAAAAUUUUUGUUUUCUGGUCUCGGGCGGGUGGAUGGGAGCCAUGGGUCAUUCCAUACUGAGAUAGAUGUCCCUGUUCCAACCCUUUUAAUUAGUCCUUUACAAGCCAGAGAUCUAGCAGAGAUAAUACUCCUCCAGCCAUACGACGGGGAAUAUGAGUGAAUCGGUUCCAGGGAUGAAGCAUUCCUGUAGUACCGUCCUUUGAAGAUUAUCGCGAGAAAAGAGAAUUUGGCUUCUCAAUCAACCUCCACAGCUGCUUUCCCAACAUUGAUAUAUUAAAAUCGGUCAAAUCUUUGAAACCUAGCCCACCAUUAUCCUUAUGGACACAUAAUUUAUUCCAUGAUUUCCAAUGCAUACCCCUUGUACUUCCUCCUGGGCUCCACCAAAACUGAGCUACUGCACUCGUUAAUUUCUUCACUAUAGCUUUCGGUAAUCGAUACACCGACAUCACAUGAUUUGGCAGAGCCGUGAUAACCGACUUAAUAAUCACCUCUUUCCCCCCUUUUGUAAAAAAUCGAAGAGUCCAGCCAUUCACCCUAUUAUUCAGACGAUCUUGUACAAAACCAAACACUUGAACCUUAGAUCUCCAUAAACUUUCUGACAAGCCUAAAUAAGAACCCAUACCUCCUAGGUUCUGAAUCCCCAAAAUAUCUUUCAACUCUUGCCUAUUGAAUUCCUCAAUUUUAUGUCCAAAUUGAAUUGAGGAUUUCUGAAAGUUGAUUUGUUGUCCUGAUACAGUCUCAUACUCCUUUAGUAUCCUAAGAAUAGUCUGACACUCUUCUUUGUUUGCCUUACAGAAGAACAAACUAUCAUCUGCAAAUAGCAAAUGAGAAACUGGUGGACACGCUCUUGCUACCUUCAUACCAGUUAAAUGUUUCUCCCGCUCCGCUUUUUUUAUAUUCGUGAUUAAAGCCUCAGUACACAUAAUAAAUAAAUAAGGAGAUAAUGGAUCUCCUUGACGUAAUCCCCGCUGAGGUAUUAUAAGGCCUCUCGGUUGCCCAUUAAGAAGAACUCUAUAUUGAACUGAAGAUAUACACCCUCGCAUUAAUUUAACCCAAUGAGAAUCAAAUCCCAUUUUUUGAAGAAGAGCCUCGAUAAAAUCCCACUCUACCCGAUCAUAUGCCUUACUCAUAUCCGUUUUAAUUGCCAUAAACUUAUUUUGACAGGAUUUGUUGGUUCGUAAACCAUGGAACAUUUCCUGUGCAAUAAGAAUAUUAUCCGAUAUUAACCUUCCUGCCACAAAAGCCGAUUGUGUUUCUGAAAUUAGAUGGGGAAGACAAUUCUUCAACCUUUGGCACAACACUUUCGAGAUAAUCUUAUAACCAACGUUACAUAGACUUAUCGGUCUCAGUUCCGUCAUCCUUGUAGGUCUUUCUAUUUUUGGUAUCAUGCAGAUAUUAGUUAUGUUCAACCGUGAAUCCAUAUUUCCUGUAACCAAGAAAUUAUUUACCAACUCAACCACAUCCUUUUUAAUGACAUUCCAGGAGUGCUGAAAGAAGAGAGCCGUCAUUCCAUCUGGGCCUGGCGCCUUCUCUGGAUGCAUCAUGAAUAAAGCUUGACGGACUUCUUCCUCCGUUGCUACUCGCAGUAGCAUAAGAUUCAAGCUUGACGGACUUCUUCCUCCGUUGCUACUCGCAGUAGCAUAAGAUUCAUCUGUGGGGAAAUUGAUGGUCCUAUCUCCUCCAAAAAACUAUCAAACUCCCCCGGGUUAGUUGAACUAAACAAACCAUCAAAAUAAUCUACCACCACCUUUUCCACACCAUUUUCUUCUGUAACCCAAUUACCCGCCUCAUCAUAGAGACCCACUAUUUUAUUUCGGAUCCGACGUUGCUUUGUCAAAGCAUGAUAAAACUUAGUAUUAAGAUCCCCAGAUGAAUGCCACAUAUUCCUACUCUUCUGAUGCCAGUAUUCCUCCUCAUCCUUAUAGGCCUCUUGUAAUUUCUUGGAAAUGUCAAUAAUAUCCUCUUGUGUUCUAUUGUCAUCUGUUUGUACUUCUUCCAGUGCCUUUUGGAGAUCCUGAAUUUUGUCUUUUCCAUAUGGUUGGUUGUUUUUUCGCCAUGAAGAUAUUUCAUGCCGACAAUUAUUAAUCUUAGUAAUAAAAUCUGCUGAUGAUCCUUCCGCAAUUCCUGACGGCUUGAUUCCUCAAUCUUAUGUCCAAAUUGAAUUGAGGAUUUUUGAAAAUUAAUUUGUUGUCCUGAUACAGCCUCAUAAUCCUUUAGUAUCCUAAGAAUAGUGUGGCACUCUUCUUUGUUUGCCUUGCAAAAGAACAAACUAUCAUCUGCAAAUAGCAAGUGAGAGAUAGCUGGACACGCUCUGGCUACCUUCAUACCGGUCAAUUGUUUCAUCCGCUCUGCUUUUUUUAUAUUCAUAAUUAGAGCCUCUGUACACAUAAUAAAUAAAUAAGGAGAUAAUGGAUCCCCCUGCCGUAGUCCCCGCUGAGGUAUAAUGAGACCUCGUGGCUGCCCAUUGAGUAAAACUCUAUAUUGAACUGAAGAUAUACACUCUCGCAUUAAUUUAACCCAAUGCGGAUCAAAUCCCAUUUUAUUAAGUAAGGCCUCUAUAAAAUCCCACUCUACCCGAUCAUAUGCCUUACUCAUAUCCGUUUUAAUUGCCAUAAACUUAUUUUGACAGGAUUUGUUGGUUCGCAAACCAUGGAACAUUUCCUGCGCAAUAAGAAUAUUAUCCGAUAUUAAUCUUCCUGCCACAAAAGCCGAUUGUGUUUCCGAAAUUAGAUGGAGAAGACAUUUUUUCAACCUUUGACACAACACUUUCGAGAUAAUCUUAUAACCAACGUUACAUAGACUUAUCGGUCUCAGUUCCAUCAUCCUUGUAGGUCUUUCAAUUUUCGGUAUCAUGCAGAUAUUAGUUAUGUUCAACCGUGAAUCCAUAUCUCCUGUAACCAAGAAAUUAUUUACCAACUCAACCACAUCCUUUUUAAUGACAUUCCAGGAGUGCUGAAAGAAGAGAGCCGUCAUUCCAUCUGGGCCUGGCGCCUUCUCUGGAUGCAUCAUGAAUAAAGCUUGACGGACUUCUUCCUCCGUUGCUACUCGCAGUAGCAUAAGAUUCAUCUGUGGGGAAAUUGAUGGUCCUAUCUCCUCCAAAAAACUAUCAAACUCCCCCGGGUUAGUUGAACUAAACAAACCAUCAAAAUAAUCUACCACCACCUUUUCCACACCAUUUUCUUCUGUAACCCAAUUACCCGCCUCAUCAUAGAGACCCACUAUUUUAUUUCGGAUCCGACGUUGCUUUGUCAAAGCAUGAUAAAACUUAGUAUUAAGAUCCCCAGAUGAAUGCCACAUAUUCCUACUCUUCUGAUGCCAGUAUUCCUCCUCAUCCUUAUAGGCCUCUUGUAAUUUCUUGGAAAUGUCAAUAAUAUCCUCUUGUGUUCUAUUGUCAUCUGUUUGUACUUCUUCCAGUGCCUUUUGGAGAUCCUGAAUUUUGUCUUUUCCAUAUGGUUGGUUGUUUUUUCGCCAUGAAGAUAUUUCAUGCCGACAAUUAUUAAUCUUAGUAAUAAAAUCUGCUGAUGAUCCUUCCUGAUUUUCUGUCCAACCCGAUACAAUUGAUUCCAUGAGUCCCUCUUGGCCAAUCCAUCGCUUAUCAAACCUGAACUGUCCUCUUCUCCUUCUUGUUAAUUUAUCUUCUAAAAAAGCUACCACAGGUCGAUGAUCUGAGCCCACCAGCCUCAAAUAUUCUGUAUAAGAGUAUGGGAAAAGUGUAUGCCAUUCCUCAUUAGCCAAGGCUCUAUCCAGUCGGCAUCUGACUGUAAAAGCUCCUUUCCCUUUACCUCUCCGUCCUUGCCAUGACAUUUUGUUACCACGAGCUGGGAAUUCCAAUAAACCACUGUUCCUUAUCAUAUUAUUAAAAGGAAUAAAAGAGGUUGCACUUCGUAAAGGUCCCCCAUCCUUUUCAUGAUUCCCGGUAAUUUCAUUUAGAUCACCAAUUACAAACCAAGGAUCAGACCUUGCGAGUCCAUACCUAGUCAAUCUUUCCCAUACAUGUUCUCUUAGCUCUUGAACCGGAUCUCCAUAAACAAAGGUAAGGAAAACUUGUUUUCCAUUGCUCACUGCUUCAAUAUCAAUCAUUCUAUUGCUAGAGUAAAGAAUCUUUACUUGAUACUCAUUGUUAUAAAAAAGAGCUAAACCACCACUCCUCCCAUUCGGAUCCACCGUAACCAGACUAUCGUAUCCAAAGUGAGAUUGAAAUUUCUGAACAAAUUCAAAAUCCUGUUUCGUUUCCGAUAAAAACAAAAAGUCUGGUUUAUGUUUUUGCCGUAUUUCCCGUAAAUAACUUAUGGUCCAAUGACUUCCAAGUCCUCUGCAAUUCCAACUUAGUAUUUUCAUAUAAAAAAAUAUAUUUUUAAGCGGAAAGGCUUAGGAUUUUUUUUUUUUUUGACAGCAAGAAAAUUUACAGACUCAUAUAGACUCUGUAAACCAAUGUGGUAACUCCGCAUCCAUGUGUACGACGAAAGACGGUUGUGUCCGAGCACUACGUGCCAAGCGAUCCGCCUUUAUGUUUUCCGUCCUUGGAACAUGAACAAUCUCUGAGUUGGUAAAGCUUCUUCUCAAAAACUUAAUGUCAUCCAGGUAGCUUUCAAAUGCCGGCCAUUCUUCUGGUUCAGAAACCAUCUUCACCAAUUGAGAACAAUCCGUUGCAAACGUGACCCGGUACUGUCGUAAGUUCUUCAUACACUCCAUUGCCCAAAUUAGAGCCUCCAACUCCGCAUGAAGAGGUGAAAGACUUGCCCUUACAUUUCUUGCCCCUAACAAACCCUCAAACUCCGGAAGCGUGCUGAACCAGCCUUGUCCUGAGAAAUAAUCCUUGUCUUUCCAAGAACCGUCAAUGAAACACCAUCUUCCUGUAGUCUGUGAGUUAACUCUGAACUGCGC